This 163-nucleotide ribosomal RNA is filed under the name uncultured bacterium. RNAcentral's name for it is "partial 16S ribosomal RNA". It matches the Rfam family "Bacterial small subunit ribosomal RNA", at positions 393 to 539 of the family's 1533-position model. The record is from RNAcentral.
GACGCCGCGUGGAGGGAUGAAGGUCUUCGGAUUGUAAACUCCUGUCGAUUUGGGAACAAUGUACAGCGAUUAACUGUCGCUGUAUUGAUAGUACCAGAAGAGGAAGAGACGGCUAACUCUGUGCCAGCCACUGCGGUGACUGAGCGGGCUGGCAAGGCGCAUA